AGGGAUGUUUUAAAUGUUUUACUGUUGGUUGUGAACCAUUUUACAUGUAAUGUGUUACAUGUUUUGAUUGAUUUGAUUUAUAUCCGCUGCGAUUUAUGCAAAUGUUUAUUUGAUUAAAUAAAGAGCAUGACUGUUAUUUUGGAACAUGGUGUGAAGUGAUUAUGUGACACCCUUAACUGCAUAAUUACUCUGAUGUUGUAUUUUGAUAUUUAAUUAAAUUAUUGGGGUAUUUUAGAAGGGUGUUACAUUAGUGGUAUCAGAGCAUAGUCG
RNAcentral lists this long non-coding RNA (270 nucleotides) under Lathyrus oleraceus (garden pea). RNAcentral's name for it is "Pisum sativum (pea) long non-coding RNA (PSAT_LNC005393)". Lineage: Eukaryota; Viridiplantae; Streptophyta; Magnoliopsida; Fabales; Fabaceae. The record is from RNAcentral.